This 484-nucleotide ribosomal RNA is filed under the name uncultured bacterium. Its description in RNAcentral is "partial 16S ribosomal RNA". It matches the Rfam family "Bacterial small subunit ribosomal RNA", at positions 30 to 507 of the family's 1533-position model. The record is from RNAcentral.
AUUGAACGCUGGCGGCAGGCCUAACACAUGCAAGUCGAGCGGAUGAAGGGGGCUUGCUCCUGGAUUCAGCGGCGGACGGGUGAGUAAUGCCUAGGAAUCUGCCUGGUAGUGGGGGAUAACGUCCGGUAACGGGCGCUGAUACCGCAUACGUCCUGAGGUAGAAAGUGGGGGAUCUUCGGACCGUACGCUACCAGAUGAGCCUAGGUUGGAUUAGUUAGUUGGUGGGGUAAGGGCCUACCAAGGCGACGAUCCGUAACUGGUCUGAGAGGAUGAUCAGUCACACUGGAACUGAGACACGGUCCCGACUCCUACGGGAGGCAGCAGUAGGGAAUAUUGGACAAUGGGCGAAAGCCUGAUCCAGCCAUGCCGCGUGUGUGAAGAAGGUCUUCGGAUUGUAAAGCACUUUAAGUUGGGAGGAAGGGCAGUAAGUUUAUACCUUGCUGUUUUGACGUUACCAACAGAAUAAGCACCGGCUAACUUCGUG